Molecule: ribosomal RNA, 470 nt
Filed under: uncultured bacterium
Lineage: Bacteria
Description: bacterial SSU rRNA
Rfam family: Bacterial small subunit ribosomal RNA
Source: RNAcentral
CGGCAUGCCUUACACAUGCAAGUCGAACGGCAGCACGGGAGCAAUCCUGGUGGCGAGUGGCGAACGGGUGAGUAAUAUAUCGGAACGUGCCCAGUCGUGGGGGAUAACGUAGCGAAAGCUACGCUAAUACCGCAUACGAUCUAUGGAUGAAAGCGGGGGAUCGCAAGACCUCGCGCGAUUGGAGCGGCCGAUAUCAGAUUAGGUAGUUGGUGAGGUAAAGGCUCACCAAGCCGACGAUCUGUAGCUGGUCUGAGAGGACGACCAGCCACACUGGGACUGAGACACGGCCCAGACUCCUACGGGAGGCAGCAGUGGGAAUUUGGACAAUGGGCGCAAGCCUGAUCCAGCAAUGCCGCGUGCAGGAUGAAGGCCUUCGGGUUGUAAACUGCUUUUGUACGGAACGAAACGGUGAGCUCUAAUACAGUUUGCUAAUGACGGUACCGUAAGAAUAAGCACCGGCUAACUACGUG